GACGAACCGUGCGAAGGUUAUUCGGAAUCACUGGGCUUAAAGGGCGCGUAGGCGGGCCGCCAAGUUCGGGGUGAAAUCCUCCAGCUUAACUGGAGAAGUGCCUCGGAUACUGGCGAUCUCGAGGAGGGUAGGGGCAUCUGGAACUAGCGGUGGAGCGGUGAAAUGCGUUGAUAUCGCUAGGAACUCCGGUGGCGAAGGCGAGGUGCUGGACCCUUUCUGACGCUGAGGCGCGAAAGCCAGGGGAGCGAACGGG
Molecule: ribosomal RNA, 253 nt
Filed under: uncultured bacterium
Lineage: Bacteria
Description: partial 16S ribosomal RNA
Rfam family: Bacterial small subunit ribosomal RNA
Source: RNAcentral